CAGAGUGACCUGACCGCAGACAACCUCCUUUUUAGUGAUGAGGUCAUAGCCAAUGGUUUCCAUUCUUGUGAUAGUGAUGAAGAUGACAGAGCCUCGCAUGCAAGUUCUAGUGACUGGACUCCAAGACCACGGAUAGGUCCCUACACUUUUGUUCAACAGCAUCUUAUGUUAGGCACAGACCCAAGGACAAUUUUGAAAGAUCUGUUACCAGAAACUAUUCCUCCACCUGAACUAGAUGAUAUGACACUGUGGCAAAUUGUUAUAAACAUUCUUUCAGAACCACCAAAAAGGAAAAAACGAAAAGAUAUUAAUACCAUUGAGGAUGCUGUGAAACUUUUGCAAGAGUGCAAAAAGAUUAUGGUUUUGACUGGAGCAGGGGUAUGUAUGUAUGUAUGUAUGUAUGUAUAGUUAUAAUGAUAGAGUGCAAAUAGAUUACUAUUUAAGCCCUCUCCAACAGUUUACAAAGUGCAGAUGCACCCAUGCAGAGCCAUGCUUGUAUCAGUGGGAGUGCUGUGAUGCACUUAUAUUUUGUAACUUGCAAAAUUAGGUCAAAUCUUGAAAGCAACCAGAUACAUUUUAAUGUAGUAGGACUUUGUGUGCCUUAUUACAGUAAUAAAAUUAAUUUUGAGAUUGUAAAGCAUGUGCUAAAUAAUUUAAAAAACCCACAUCCUAAUUAGUAAGGUAUCCAGAGACGGUAAAAAUGUUUAUUCCUAAUCCCCCUUUUUUUUUUUUAUAUUUAAUUUCUGUCUGUCUAUGUAGUUUUGAAACAUAUAUAGCAAUAUCUUCUACUUAAUUUGUUGGCAUUAUAUAAUUCUCAGAGGAAAACUCCCAUUGACUUCAAUGGGACUUAGAUUGGACUUCAAUAGAUUACUGAGAGUUGUGUUCAGCCUUUUGCAGCCAGUCCACAGACCUGACCCCUUGCAGGAUCAGCGCCCAGAUCGGGCCCCAUAUAUCCAAUCUAGCAUGUAGGGAUGCUGUUUGGCCCAUGUGACUCUCCCUGGGUCCGGAAAUUUGGCAGCAGGGGCAGUUAGAGAAGCAGUGGCAGUGUUGCUAUCAAAUUUCCAGGCACAUAGGAAGCUGGAUGGGCUGGAUCUGGUUUGAAGACUGAUGUUGAGCACCCCUGACCUGAGAACAUUGUAUCUGGCUCUUAGUUUGCAACCACAGCAGUUACUGGUGUAGUCACAGCUCUUACACAUGUAUAGCUUUUGUUACAGUGUAGAAGUCAAGGAAAUGGUUGCUUGUAAAUCACUGCUUCCUCUGGUUGUAAAAGAAAGAUGCUGGCUCAUUGCCCCUCAUAACACAGUAUGUAAAAAACCAAACAAAAAAAAAAGAUGAGCAAUUAGAGGCAGACCAGUAUGUCCGUAAGAGAAAGAAGUGACCAUUGUGCUGCUGUGACCCAAUCUUAUUUAUUCUAUAAUUGCUAUUAAGCACCCCAGUUAAAAUAAAUAAAGCUACAAUAGGGAGAUUGGUUAUACUUGUUUUAAACAAUAUCUUAAUCUUAAGUUUGGUGUUCAAAAAUAGAAAAAUAAUAGUAAAAAAUGUCUGGUCUGGUAGAUAUAAAAACAAGAAAAGAAUAGUUUUUUUUGUUUUGUUUUGUUUUGUUUUUUUAAUCCUCUUUUCAACUAGAAGAUAAUCUAGAAGAUUUAAUUUAUUUUGCCAGACCAAACUUCAAGUGUUUUUAAGUGUUGUUGGACAUAUAUUCAAGAAAGAUAUAAAUCAGUGUCCUCCUAUUAAAUGGCUCAUCUCUGAAAUAUGGUUUGCACUAUAAUUUUGUGCUGCAAACAAUGUAAUUUUUCUCACUAUGUCUCUUGCAUACUUGUUAGCAGAGAUCUUGGCUUUCUCUGAUUUAAAAAAAACUGCAAAAUCUGCAUUUUCCACUAUGCAAAUGAAAUGCCACUAAUAUAUCAGUUGAACACACUGAUAUAUAUUUA
Long non-coding RNA from Alligator sinensis (Chinese alligator), 1931 nucleotides. RefSeq lists it as uncharacterized. Lineage: Eukaryota; Metazoa; Chordata; Crocodylia; Alligatoridae. The transcript has 3 exons. The record is from RefSeq and is a predicted model, not a curated record.